RNAcentral lists this ribosomal RNA (576 nucleotides) under uncultured eukaryote. RNAcentral's name for it is "eukaryotic LSU rRNA". The stretch from base 182 to 335 matches the Rfam family "5.8S ribosomal RNA". The record is from RNAcentral.
AACAAGGUCUCCGUUGGUGAACCAGCGGAGGGAUCAUUAUCGAGUUAUUCAACUCCCAAACCCUAUGUGAACUUACCACUUGUUGCUUCGGCGCGCGCUUCGGCGCCGCCGAGGACACUUAAACUCUUUGUUUUUAUAAGCAUUUCUGAGUGGCCGAAAGGCAAAAAUACAAAUGAAUCAAAACUUUCAACAACGGAUCUCUUGGUUCUGGCAUCGAUGAAGAACGCAGCGAAAUGCGAUAAGUAAUGUGAAUUGCAGAGUUCAGUGAAUCAUCGAAUCUUUGAACGCACAUUGCGCCCGCCAGCAUUCUGGCGGGCAUGCCUGUUCGAGCGUCAUUUCAACCCUCGAGCCCGACUCUUUUGAGGACAGCUCGGCGUUGGGGGACGGCAGACUCCCCCCGGCAUCUCGCCGGGGACGCCGCCCCCGAAAUCUAGUGGCGGCCCUCCGAGGCGACCUCUGCGUAGUAACUUGUUCUCGCACCGGAAAGCUCAGAGCGGCCACGCCGUAAAACCCCAACUUUUUUCAGGUUGACCUCGAAUCAGGUAGGACUACCCGCUGAACUUAAGCAUAUCAAUA